This 468-nucleotide ribosomal RNA is filed under the name uncultured bacterium. RNAcentral describes it as "partial 16S ribosomal RNA". It matches the Rfam family "Bacterial small subunit ribosomal RNA", at positions 28 to 507 of the family's 1533-position model. The record is from RNAcentral.
GACGAACGCUGGCGGCGUGCUUAACACAUGCAAGUCGAACGGAAAGGCCCUGCUUUUGUGGGGUGCUCGAGUGGCGAACGGGUGAGUAACACGUGAGUAACCUGCCCUUGACUUUGGGAUAACUUCAGGUAACUGGGGCUAAUACCGGAUAGGAGCUCCUGCUGCAUGGUGGGGGUUGGAAAUUUUCGGCGGUUGGGGAUGGACUCGCGGCUUAUCAGCUUGUUGGUGGGGUAGUGGCUUACCAAGGCUUUGACGGGUAGCCGGCCUGAGAGGGUGACCGCCGACAUGGGGACUGAGAUACGGCCCAGAGUCCUACGGGAGGCAGCAGUGGGGAAUAUUGCACAAUGGGAGGAAGCCUGAGGCAGAAACGCCGCGGGCGGGAUGACGGCCUUCGGGUUGUAAAACGCUGUCGCCUGAGACGAAGCGGGAGUGACGGUAAUGGGUAAAGAAGCACCGGCUAACUACGUG